RNAcentral lists this ribosomal RNA (253 nucleotides) under uncultured bacterium. Its description in RNAcentral is "partial 16S ribosomal RNA". It matches the Rfam family "Bacterial small subunit ribosomal RNA", at positions 524 to 776 of the family's 1533-position model. The record is from RNAcentral.
UACGUAGGGUGCGAGCGUUAAUCGGAAUUACUGGGCGUAAAGCGCGCGUAGGCGGUUUUGUAAGUCGGGUGUGAAAUCCCCAAGCUUAACUUGGGAACUGCAUUCGAGACUGCAUAGCUAGAGUAUGGGAGAGGGAAGUGGAAUUUCAGGUGUAGCGGUGAAAUGCGUAGAUAUCUGAAGGAACAUCAGUGGCGAAAGCGGCCCUCUGGCUCGACCCUGACGCUGAGGCGCGAAAGCGUGGGGAGCAAACAGG